UAGGUGCUCUCUGUUGGGAUGA
Molecule: microRNA, 22 nt
Filed under: Sarcophilus harrisii (Tasmanian devil)
Lineage: Eukaryota; Metazoa; Chordata; Mammalia; Dasyuromorphia; Dasyuridae
Description: Sha-Mir-430-o20_3p (mature (guide))
Source: RNAcentral